RNAcentral lists this long non-coding RNA (952 nucleotides) under Homo sapiens (human). Its description in RNAcentral is "HSALNT0330042". The record is from RNAcentral. Lineage: Eukaryota; Metazoa; Chordata; Mammalia; Primates; Hominidae.
CCUAGUGAAGAGUCCAGAUGUAGACUUAAAGAGCUCUGGAAUCUCCUCCAAGGGUUCAGCCAGAAGCCAUCUGACUGGCUAUGACCAGUAUUGGGGACUUUAUUCUUCCAAAGGCAGUCUAUCCAAUUUUUGGACCACUCUGAUGGUGUCAGAGGCCUUCUGUAGAUUGAGCUCAAAUAACUCACUUCUAGUUGUCUUAGGUCAACAAUGUGUGGCCACAGAGAUUAAGUCAAACUCCUCUUCAUCUCUGUGCUGUUCCUGAAUUUGCCAGCCUUCCAGGUUUCUGAGUUGUUGAUAAACACCGCACAGGAGACAUGAGGACAGAACCCUUCAGUGGAGACCUGUUUGGAUAUUGCAGGGGCUUUCUGUGCCCCGCCUAUGCGUGAUUUCAGCGCUGUGGAUUGCCAUUCGUGCCAUGGCGAAUGUAUGGCAUUUAGAACAUCUUGGAUUUCCCAUCACCCCUCACCUUUCUGCAUCUAUGUUGGCCUUAUUCAUAUAACAAACCUUGGCAAUCUUGUUCAUGUGAAAAGUGGUGGAGCAAAUAACUCGGAACAUGUUACCUAUUCCAUUGACUCUGCAACUUCCAAGCAGGGCAGUUCGACUUGGAUAUACAAACCCACUUUCAGAGGCAUUUGUAGCAGUGUUGGCAACUGAUUUCAGUGGUCCAGUGUCCAGAUAAUUGGAGUGGCAGUGGAGGCUGAUGUCCGAAUAGUCCGAAUAGUCCCUGAGAUGGUGUGUUCUGGACCUCAGGUACUCCAGUGGCAAGCUGCUGGUUCCUCACCAUCCUGAUUGUGACAAAGGUCACAUGAUUAUCUGCGAUGUUUCAGGAGUCAUUUCUACAUACUCAAUCUAGAGUCCUGCCUUCAGCCCUUCCAAUAAUUUUUAAAGUACUUAAUUCCAGUAUUAACUCCCUUUGUGCCUCAAAAUUCCUAUGGUGAUUUCUGAUUCCUGC